GAUACAAAACGGUAAUUAAAAUCGUAACGAGGAGAGGAGAUCGAGUAGAGCAGCAUGAUCGACGAUCCUCUUCUAGAACCAAAACUGUGUUUCUUGAAUUAUAAAUAUUCCACCUCAAUUCGCCUCCCCGUUUCCGAGACCAAAUUAACGCAUCUCUACAGGAAAUAACGAUGUGAGAUGGUCAAAGCAAAACAAACUUAACUCAUCAGUUAUUGUCGCGCGAGAGCGCGCUCGCGGGCAUGGGCAUGCGAACGUUAGCAGCGGCGACAAACGAUGCGAGGGCCCAAAACGCCCGGCUCUCUGUUGUCGUCCGUGGAGAAGGAGAUCGAUCAGAUCAUGUUGGAGAGCGAGCGGCAGUUCUCGGACAUCUCGACGAGCGACGCGUCGAACUGCUCCAUGGGGUUCUUCUCGCCGAUCUGCCUGAACUGCUCGUCGCAGUUCUGCAUGUCCUGCGCCGCCAUGCCCAUGGUGGCGCGGAUGGUGACGGCGUCCUUGAAGCCGAUGGCGCGGCGGCAGGCUCCCAGGUUGUCCUCCACGUCCAGGUACAGGUUGUUGCACAGGUCCAGCACCGUCCGCGCCUUGGGGGACGCCGUCACGGCGGCCUCCUUGACGU
Molecule: long non-coding RNA, 613 nt
Filed under: Zea mays
Lineage: Eukaryota; Viridiplantae; Streptophyta; Magnoliopsida; Poales; Poaceae
Description: long non-coding RNA (ZMAY_LNC004657)
Source: RNAcentral